This 400-nucleotide ribosomal RNA is filed under the name uncultured bacterium. RNAcentral's name for it is "bacterial SSU rRNA". It matches the Rfam family "Bacterial small subunit ribosomal RNA", at positions 114 to 512 of the family's 1533-position model. The record is from RNAcentral.
CACGUACGCAACCUUCCUUUAAGUGUGGGAUAGCCCAGGGAAACUUGGAUUAAUACCACGUAAUAUAAUCGGGUGGCAUCAUUUGAUUAUUAUAGCUCCGGCGCUUAAAGAUGGGCGUGCGCCUGAUUAGGUAGUUGGCGGGGUAACGGCCCACCAAGCCUUCGAUCAGUAACUGGUGUGAGAGCACGACCAGUCACACGGGCACUGAGACACGGGCCCGACUCCUACGGGAGGCAGCAGUAAGGAAUAUUGGUCAAUGGACGCAAGUCUGAACCAGCCAUGCCGCGUGGAGGAUGAAGGUCCUCUGGAUUGUAAACUUCUUUUAUCUGGGAAGAAACCUGUCUUUUCUUGGGCAGCUGACGGUACCAGAUGAAUAAGCACCGGCUAACUCCGUGCCAGC